Long non-coding RNA from Saccostrea echinata, 189 nucleotides. RefSeq lists it as uncharacterized. The record is from RefSeq and is a predicted model, not a curated record. The transcript has 4 exons. NCBI's taxonomy places the organism in Eukaryota, Metazoa, Mollusca, Bivalvia, Ostreida, Ostreidae.
AAAACCCAAACCAAUUGUGGACACUGAAGGAAAAUAUGAAGAAAAAAAACCCCAAACAAAUGUGGACACUGAAGGAAAAUGUGAAGAAAAAAAACCCCAAACAAAUGUGGACACUGAAGGAAAAUGUGAAGAAAAAAAGCCCCAAACAAGUGUGGACACUGAAGGAAAAUGUGAAGAAGAAGAAAAACC